RNAcentral lists this long non-coding RNA (209 nucleotides) under Homo sapiens (human). RNAcentral's name for it is "non-protein coding lnc-PYURF-3:16". The record is from RNAcentral. Lineage: Eukaryota; Metazoa; Chordata; Mammalia; Primates; Hominidae.
CGCCCAGUGACUUCUGGAUACCACUGACUCUAGAUCCUGAAUUCCAGCAGAAUGGCUGACACCAACUGGUCUGAAGACCCUCACCAAGGAACUGACUCAGUGCAGGAAUGCAGUUUCUUCAUCUCCCUAUCCCUGACUUCACCCCUCACUUCUCAACCAAUCAGUGAUCACCACACUUUAGGCCAUCACCUGUGUCCAGACCCCUUAAA